RNAcentral lists this small nucleolar RNA (111 nucleotides) under Cervus hanglu yarkandensis (Yarkand deer). Its description in RNAcentral is "Small nucleolar RNA SNORA70 (ENSCHYG00000013649.1)". It matches the Rfam family "Small nucleolar RNA SNORA70". From Rfam's summary of the family: snoRNA U70 seems to be exclusive to mammals and is a member of the H/ACA class of snoRNA which contain H (ANANNA) and ACA box motifs. H/ACA box snoRNAs are involved in the conversion of uridines to pseudouridines (5-ribosyluracil) a constituent of structural RNAs (transfer, ribosomal, small nuclear, and small nucleolar). The record is from Rfam by way of RNAcentral. Lineage: Eukaryota; Metazoa; Chordata; Mammalia; Artiodactyla; Cervidae.
AUACAUCUUGUUAAAAGAUUCCUGCUUGUGCAAUGGCUGCAAACAGCCUCCUUGGUAGUGUAUGCAACCUGUUGCCUGUACAGGUAGCCCUAAGGGACCUUGGAGACAACU